Long non-coding RNA from Folsomia candida, 1893 nucleotides. RefSeq lists it as uncharacterized. NCBI's taxonomy places the organism in Eukaryota, Metazoa, Arthropoda, Collembola, Entomobryomorpha, Isotomidae. The transcript is spliced from 2 exons. The record is from RefSeq and is a predicted model, not a curated record.
GCCACUCAAAUAUUUUCCUAAUUGGAGAAUAAUUAAGUUAGAAGGUUGUAUGGCUUCCACUUUAUCGCAUCAUAUAUUUUUAGACUCAUAUCUUGCAUAUGAAGAAGGUUAUCAGCCCAAUUAAAAUAAUUGAUUUUACAUCUAAAACUGAACCUUAAUUUUACUUUAUUAAUUGGAAGAGGUCUCGCAACUUUAUGCGUUCGUCGGAAAAGAAAUGAAUAAUAAAGAAUACAGGGUGAUGAUUAACUACAUGAGAGAGUAACACACCUUGAACAUGACCCUGUCACCCGUACGGCGAUAACAACAUUCGUCUUCCGUGUGUCUGUAAUUAAUGCGAUAAUUUAACAACAUUUUGUAAUCUCUGCGGUGAUUGCAAUAUUGUCGUGGAAUCGAAGCAUUAAAUUGGUCAGUCGGAAUCAAAUCUGUAAUGUUCAUCAUUUUAGCGUAUUUUGGGAUAAGGUGAGAUGACAUCAAAAGAGACCAUCAAACUGUGUCUGUGUUAAAAAGUUUGUGUAGAAAAUUCAUACUUUUUUUAAUUUGUGAGAAAAUUGGGGGUAGUUACAGGAGUUUAUUAAUAUAAGAUGUAAAAUAGCGUGUGUGAUGACGAGUUUCGAAAAAAUCUACGAUGGGACGGAAUGGAUCUGAUUUUCGGAUUUUGGAAAGCCCACUUUCAGUUAUUUUCAAAUAACUGAUUUUAUUUCUUAAUUUCAUUCCGAUAAAAUAUGUGAUUUCAUUAUGCGACUGGAUUUGUGAUGGUCAAUUUUUUGUAAGCUUAUAAAAAAUCUGGACUAUGAUUAAUUUAAAAAUACUAAAAGUCACCAUUUCAUGAUUUCAACUACUAUUGCAAACGCUGCAAUAAAGUUGAGAUGUGUUAAGCUGACGAUGGUCGUGUGUUCCGUGGUCUAAAAAUCUCACCAAACUCGGGUGAAGGCUUAAAGGACUUUUUUUAAGGUGUUGAAUGUUCCGUGGAAAUGGAGAGAAAAGAGUCGGUCGAGCAUUUAAUGGUCUCUUAAUGAUUUCCGUUUACUCCAAAAAGCCUCCCGUAAUGGCUUCCUCGUCCCACAAAAUAAUUGUGGCACUGCAUUCCUCCAGCGAAACAGAGAAGAUCAAACCGAACGUGCAUUAGUUGAUCGUUCGUGCACGAAGAAAUAAAAAAUAUCUGGCUUGGACAAAACCAAUCAUCACUUUGAUUUUCAUUAUGAACUUUAAUCCGUCAAAUUUUCCACAUUUUUUAACACGAAUUACUUUUUUAAUUUUUUAUAAUGUGUUGUUUCUUUUUAGAUUUUGAUUGGAUUGGUUGGUGCUCUUUUCGCUUGUUUGUUUGGUAAUAUAUGUAGCUGUGAGUUUGUGUGUGUAGAAAACAUUAACAAUUACAGAAAUAAGGACUGCUGGUGUAGUACAUAUUGUAUAUUUAGAUAGUAACAAUAUAUAAUCUGAUCUUGAACUGGUUGUAUUUUUUUUUAGAGAAUUUCAAUAAAAAAAAUAUCCUGAUCAAGCGUCUCGUCUUCAUCAUAGCGUCUCAUGAUUAGUGAGCCCUUGGCAUGAGACGAAGUGAUGAGAGACGCAAAAUAAUGAGAAAAGAGAUUAAUUAUUCCCCUUAUUUAAAUCAGUAAUGUGUAAUUACAAUAUUUUUUUAAACUUACAUUAGUCUAAUUAUCGUUUCAUCUAAGACAUAAUAUUAGUAAUCAUCAUAACAAUAAUCAUAAUAAUAUAUAAUUUUAUAAUGGGGAUACAUUCCCCCGUUUGUUUGUGAACAAAUACCUUAUUUCAAUUUUCUUGGUAUGCACGUCUUAUAAUACUAUUGUGUAAUUCGUUAAUAAACCUGUAUUGGAUUUGAUGUUGGGUUUGUCACCAAUUUUUUCAUGUAUGACACGGAUUCAUACAAAAAAUUCG